GUGCCAGCAGCCGCGGUAAUACCGGCAGCCCAAGUGAUGGCCGCUGUUAUUGGGCCUAAAGCGUCCGUAGCUGGCCGCACGAGUCCGUCGGGAAAUCCGCCCGCUCAACGGGCGGCCGUCGGGCGGAACCUGUGUGGCUUGGGACCGGGAGGCCUGAGGGGUACGAUCGGGGUAGGAGUGAAAUCCUGUAAUCCCGCUCGGACCGCCGAUGGGGAAACCACCUCAGGAGAACGGAUCCGACAGUGAGGGACGAAAGCUAAGAUCGCGAACCGGAUUAGAUACCCUUGUAGUCC
Molecule: ribosomal RNA, 293 nt
Filed under: uncultured bacterium
Lineage: Bacteria
Description: partial 16S ribosomal RNA
Rfam family: Archaeal small subunit ribosomal RNA
Source: RNAcentral